AUCAAAAUAACUCAUAUACCAUAAAUCAUCCAAACUUAUCAAACCCCUCAUCAUGAGGGGAUUAUCCUUGCAUCCACAUCAUCCCUAAUCUAACAAUAAAAGGUUUAGCCAAUUUUGAUGAAACUACAACAAGGAAGAAGGGUUACAAUCACCAUCAUUGCUCUAGGUAGAACUUGAUGAUAAAAGUUUCCUUGAUCUUCAUUCCUUGCUUUAGACUCCAAGCACUCCAAUCCAAGCUCAAAUUGAUCUUCAAGCUCGUCUUCUCGGUCUCCCAAAGAGGGGUGGAAGGAGAGAAAAAUGGAAAUAAGAGAAAUGUAAUGAUGUUAAGGAUUAUGCCCCCUCUCUCCUAUAAAAUGAGCUUAAAUAGUGCUACCUUGAGGAUCCAACUCAAUUUGAUCAACUUCCAAACCGGUCCCAAAAUUGUAUUUUUCCCGUCGAACCGUUGACUGACCUCUGACUCGAACCGUUAGCUUCGUCUUUGAAUUCUCUAUCGGACGGAUACCUGUAACCUUCGAGGCAACUCUUAGAAACAAGUCAAAUGGACCUGAAUGGCCCAUUUGAGAGAAAAAGCACGAAAAUCCUUCCUAGCUCAUACAAUCAUAUCAAUUCGAUCGGAAAUCAGUCAAAUCGAGUCAAAGGAAAUCAAGGUGGGUGCAAUUAUCCCGAUAAUAUGGAGUGAUAUCAAACCAUCUCACACUUGAACAUUGUUAACAUUGUUUGUCCUCAAGAAAAUCUGCAACUCAAACAAAGAGGGAGCCAAAACAUGGUGAUCGAAACAACAUGCGUAGCUACUCAAGCGUACUUCACGGUGCCAAAAGUAUCAGUCAUCCACUAAACCACACAAUUAUAUAUGUACAAGACGCUGAAUCUCUUAUAAGAGCACACAACAAACUCACGAAUAUAGAGUUUAUGAUUAGACACCUAAACAAAUGAAUAUGUAAAGGUUUCUCCAAUGCACUUGUGUGUUAUGAUACAAGCUGAAAAAAUGGACAUAUAAAUGAUCUUUGUAGGGUAUUUUUUUUAUCCCGAGGGAGGGAAUACUUUUCAUAUCAAACAUCAAAACUAUCCUCAAAGCCAGCUAAUAAUAUUCAGAGGCCAUGUUCAAAAUUUAAAUUGUGGCCCCGAAAAAAUUCGUUUCAAAAUUUUGAUAAAAUAUAUUAAAAAAAUUAAAUAAUAGAAAUACAUAAAUUCUUCAAACUGCAAAAGAAUAUGGUGGUCAGAGACUUAGAGAGGACUUAAUGAUUUAUGUUUAAUUGGACUUGUGUUUUCUCUUCUUUUGAGAUCCAUGUGGACAAAUGAAUGAAGCAACUAAAAAAAGGUUAAAUCUAUAUCCCCCCGAACAUAUGAUUCUUAAAACCAUUCUCCGCCCAUACGCUGUUGUUAAUACUUAAUCCAAAAUUAGCUACCAAAUGUCAAUUAACUAAUACUAGUACUGCCUAACAAACCCUUUCUUUUAGGGAUUUUAUCUCAAACUUAUCCAUCAGGCUUAUAUGGUGGACAGAUGGAGAGUCGGCUGGUGGUGGACGGUCGUUGCCUUGUCGGCUCUUGCUGAUUCAUGCAAAAGAGAAGCCAAGUAAAUGAGCUAAUAAGACUAUAAGAGAAUAAGAUAUGAUUGAUAUGAUGACAGGACGACAGAAGAGUCAAGACUGAUUGAUGAAUUGAUGAACAUAACUCACCGUGAUGACUGAUCGAGGGAUUAGGAUUCAUGAAGAUUGGAAGAAGAAUAGCUGAUCAGAGAUGAGAAAUCACAGAUGAUUCUAUGAUUGAGAGUGAAGGAACAAAGGAUUUUGAUGUGUUUUAACGGAACGCAAUCAGCUGUUGUGAUUGAUUCAUUAAAGAUUUGAUAGUCGUUUACCUGUGUGACGCCUGGAUACUCGCAAAUGAUAAUUAACAUUGAUUAGGGGAAGUUGAGAAAGAUACGCUGAAUUGAUUCCCAGGAGAGAGAGUCCGGUGGAUUUUUGGGAACUUGGGAAGGUUUGGGGAAGAGGAAGAGAGAAGCAACGCCGCACGCCUGGUCGGUAGGAUAAAAUGGAGCUGAGAUGGAGAGAUGAAGGACGAGUAAACAAGGCCUGGAAACAUAACAUGACAGACAAGAAAGAGAAUAGCAAACAACAAAUGGUCUGAGUCAAGUGAAAAGAAAAAAUCCUAAGGCCACCAAGGAACUGUCUCAACAAGCAUCCAAU
RNAcentral lists this long non-coding RNA (2183 nucleotides) under Linum usitatissimum (flax). RNAcentral's name for it is "long non-coding RNA (LUSI_LNC004238)". Lineage: Eukaryota; Viridiplantae; Streptophyta; Magnoliopsida; Malpighiales; Linaceae. The record is from RNAcentral.